Molecule: ribosomal RNA, 375 nt
Filed under: Triticum aestivum (bread wheat)
Lineage: Eukaryota; Viridiplantae; Streptophyta; Magnoliopsida; Poales; Poaceae
Description: partial small subunit ribosomal RNA
Source: RNAcentral
AUGAAUGGUGUUUUGACAAAAGAUGGAAAGAAAUAUUUCAUGACGUUAAUUAACGACUCCACUAGAUACUGCCGUGUGUAUCUUCUGAAAUCUAAGGACGAGGCUUUGAACUUUUUCAAAAUCUAUAAAGCUGAAGUGGAAAACCAACUUGAUCGGAAAAUCAAGAGGCUUAGGUUCGACCGUGGUGGAGAGUAUUUUUUCAAUGAAUUUUAUACUUUUUGUGCGGAACAUGGUAUAAUCCACGAGAGGACGCCUCCCUAUUCACCUCAAUCAAAUGGGGUGGCCGAAAGAAAGAACCGUACUCUAACAGAUUUGGUUAACGCCAUGUUAGACACAUCGGGUCUCUCCAAGGCAUGGUGGGGGAGGCGAUAUUGA